CCUACGGGCGGCAGCAGUGGGGAAUAUUGCACAAUGGGGGAAACUCUGAUGCAGCGACGUCGCGUGAGUGAAGAAGUAUUUCGGUACGUAAAGCUCUAUCAGUAGGGAAGAAAAUGACGGUACGUGACUAAGAAGCCCCGGCUAACUCCGUGCCAGCAGCCGCGGUAAUACGGAGGGGGCAAGCGUUAUCCGGAUUUACUGGGUGUAAAGGGAGCGUAGAGGGCAGCGCAAGUCUGAAGUGAAAUCCCUUGGCUUAACCAUAGAAUUGCUUUGGAAACUGUGCAGCUGGAGUGCAGGUGAGGUAGGCGGAAUUCGUGGUGUAGCGGUGAAAUGCGUAGAUAUUAGGAGGAACACCGGUUGCGAAGGCGGCUUACUGGACUGUAACUGACGUUGAGGCUCGAAAGCGUGGGGAGCAAACAGGAUUAGAUACCCUAGUAGUC
This 440-nucleotide ribosomal RNA is filed under the name uncultured bacterium. RNAcentral's name for it is "partial 16S ribosomal RNA". It matches the Rfam family "Bacterial small subunit ribosomal RNA", at positions 338 to 795 of the family's 1533-position model. The record is from RNAcentral.